AACGAACGCUGGCGGCAGGCUUAACACGUGCAAGUCGAACGCCCCGCAAGGGGAGUGGCAGACGGGUGAGUAACGCGUGGGAACGUACCUUUCAGUUCGGAAUAACUCAGGGAAACUUGUGCUAAUACCGGAUACGUCCGUAAGGAGAAAGAUUUAUCGCUGAAAGAUCGGCCCGCGUUGGAUUAGCUAGUUGGUGGGGUAAUGGCCUACCAAGGCGACGAUCCAUAGCUGGUCUGAGAGGAUGAUCAGCCACACUGGGACUGAGACACGGCCCAGACUCCUACGGGAGGCAGCAGUGGGGAAUAUUGGAUAAUGGGCGAAAGCCUGAUCCAGCCAUGCCGCGUGAGUGAUGAAGGCCCUAGGGUUGUAAAGCUCUUUCACCGAUGAAGAUAAUGACGGUAGUCGGAGAAGAAGCCCCGGCUAACUUCGUGCCAGCCGCCGCGGUAA
RNAcentral lists this ribosomal RNA (447 nucleotides) under uncultured bacterium. RNAcentral's name for it is "partial 16S ribosomal RNA". It matches the Rfam family "Bacterial small subunit ribosomal RNA", at positions 29 to 523 of the family's 1533-position model. The record is from RNAcentral.